This 4229-nucleotide long non-coding RNA is filed under the name Brassica napus (rape). RNAcentral describes it as "long non-coding RNA (BNAP_LNC020441)". Lineage: Eukaryota; Viridiplantae; Streptophyta; Magnoliopsida; Brassicales; Brassicaceae. The record is from RNAcentral.
GAAGAGACCGCCGCUUCAAUAUUUAUAAGGAGAAACUGAUUUGUUAUUUAAGAAUAUCUUUGGUUUGAGAGAGAAAGCAGAACCUUGUCUUCUAACCAUUGCAUGCAAAGAGCGCCAAGCUUAUCGUCAAAGAAGCCAACACCUAACUGACUUGCCAACAAAGGUAUGUACUCAAUGAUAGCAAGUCUUACCCUCCAGUGUCUAUCUUCAGCAAGUUCUACAAUUGCUGGCAACAAGGAUUGCGAUAGUAGAUCAAUCCCAAUAACCUGCCAAAUAUAAAAUAUUGGAAUCAUCAAGUGAAAGUCGAUAAGCAAAAAAAGUUGAAUAAUGUUUAUCGGUGAAACCAUUGACAUGAGAAAAUUUUGUUUGGGUAAGUUGGUCAAACCUGGUUCACUUGGUCGAGUUUGCUGAUGAUGUUCAAGCGUACAUCUGGAAACUCAUCUUUCAACAGCGAAAGAAAGAUUGGAAGGAGAUGCUCAAUUGUUGCAUCCUGCAUUGGAAAAAUCAAUGUAAAGGUUAAAGUCUGCAACAUAUACAAUCCAACAAAAAAAAUCUCUCUGUACAACUGAUCACGGUUAUGGGCACUUUCCAGGUACAAUUAUUGGACGAAAAGGCUGAGUUAAAUACUAACGUACAUCUUUCCCAUCACUGUAGAGUCAACACACAUCUAUAUUUGCGAACUGUCUUACCUUACCCAAGACUGGAGCCAUUCCCAUUAUAACUGAAGCCAGUGCAGAUCUGACGUGUUGAGAUGAGUCUGUUGAUAGCUCCUACAGGUAGAAUUAAAAGAAACUAUAAGUACUAUGUAACAGCUUAUAAGUGUCGAGUCAUUGAUUCUUUGAAAAAAAUUGAGAUUCUCACACGGGUCUCUUAGAAUGUACCUUUACGCAGGGGAGAAUGUGCUGAAUAGCAAGUUCAGGGUUUAGGAUCCGACAAAACUUAGUAACUUUUCCAGCAGCUGCUAUGCGUACUUCAGCCUCAUUGUCACGAAGUAGACGCACAUAUGCAGGCACCAGUUCCGUCCUUGAUAUAGAAGGAACAUUAAAUAGUAUUAGGAAGAAGCAAGGGGUAUCAUCAAAUAUAUUGAUAAUCAUACCUCUGAAGAGGUAAUCCACCAAUAUAGAAAUGCAUAUAAUGCAAUAGGCCUAAAGAACUUCAUUAAAACAUACUAAAUGUUUAUCCAAGACUCCUUACCUAGUAGGCUCAGGUCCCACGGCUUCACAAAGCUCAUAGAGCUGAUUUGCUACCAUGUAACGCACACGCCAAGACUUAUCCUGCUCAGUGACAAAGUACAAAGAUUAAACAUCUCAUAAGUGUAGUUUAUCCAAGGAUCAUCAUCAUAAAGACUAUGCAAUUAGCACAAAUGAUUACCUGCGAGAAAUUAACAAUCACGGGAAGAAUGUGCGCAACACAGUCCUGAGGCUCCAACAAUUUCCCAAGAGCAGCACAACCCUCAACCGCCAAUAAUCUAACGGAAUCUUGAUCUGAUAUGAAAGACAAUGAAGAACCGUAAGAUGAAAAUAAUGUUAGAUAACUAAAUAGAUAUGUGGACACUCAUUUUCAUCUUUAUCUUCAGCUAAUGCUCAGUGUGUAAUGCAUUUCAGUGCCUGCUGGCCGUAACUUUUUUUACAUCCAUCCGCCACCCGCAAAAGCAUAUUUAAUACCGACUCGACAAUUACAUGCUUAAACAAGCAGCAAAGCGACAGUGUGAACCAUAACAGAUAAGAAAUUACCAUCUUGAGUAAGAUCAUCAAACAUAGACAUAACGUCGGUCUUCAAGUGAGCUGAUUCAAUAGUAGCAGCAAAUUUCCCCAGAUUGGUUGCUGCAGCUCUUCGCACCAUUGGCAUAUCAUCUUGACAGAGCUGGGUAUAUAUUGAUCUCAACUCAGUCUUCACCGCAUCUGGGGCGCUAGGGUAUGCAAUAUGGAAAACUCCACAAGCUGAUACUCUGGCUGUGAACCAUUCACCAGCUGCAAGUCUCUGUUACAUCAGGGAGAGUAAACUUAAGUAAUUUCCUUAUUUCAACAAUACAAUAUGCAAAGUUCUUAACGAAAAACAUCUACUUGGCUUUCAAUAGAGAUGGCCAGUCACAUAAACAUCCGAAAAAACAAGUCAGCUAGUUAUGCCAGACACCCUAGAAAAACCAGUAUGGUCUUAUUGUUUUCAACCUAGCAGUUGUCUAUUCCAAAACUUUGAGAGGCCAAUAUAACUCCAAUCUCUGUAUAAACAUAUGCAUAUUCCAACUUAUUUCUUAUGAGAGUCUAAUAUAGUUUCAGUCUCUAUAAGAACAUAUGCAUAGUGUAACUUAUUUCUUAUGAGAGUCUAAUACAACUUCAUUCUCUAUAAACAUACGCAUACUGUAACUUAUUUACUAUGACAGUCUAAUAUAACUUUAACUUCGAUCUCUAUAUUAACAUAUGAAUAUUGUAACUUAUUUCCUAUGAGAUUCAAAUAUAACUUCAUUCUCUUCUUAAAUGAGUCUAAUAUAAUCUUUAUCUUUCAAUAUUCUUCAUGAUUCCUCUAUAUUUUCUAGAUAUUUCCUUAUCUUUGUGUUUUCUAUAAUCUGGAUACGGUCGAUAACAUGAGAAAUGAAAUGAAACCACGAGUUGUUAUCCUCCUCUCUUGGCUAACCUUAACCAACGGUAUGAAAUGCUCAACCAAAUCAGUCUCCUUCAUCUGAGACCCAACUCUGCAAAGCGACUCAACAGCUUUCUCCCUCACACAAGUCUCCUCAACCGUGGAGAGAGUCUCCAACGGUGGAAGCAGAACGUGCGCGUGCUCAACGCCACCAACGUAAGGAAUAAACACUCCCAAUUCCUCAGCCAUUGCAAGCAGCACCUCAUCGUCAUCGUCAUUGUUUUCGCUCAGAAAGGGAAUCAGCUCCUUCCUCGUCCUCUCCUCGCCGAGAGCGCGAGCAAUCGUGGAAAGCCUUCUGAUCGAAUUCAACCUUAGCUGAAUGUCAUCGUUUUUAAGCUCGUCUAUGAGGACGGCGAUGGGGUAAAGCGGCUCGUCGGUCAUCGACAUCUUUGAUCAAAAGUUCGAUUCUCACCUAAUACCAUCAGAGAAAUCGCAAACGCGAGCAAUUAGGAGAAGAACCUAGCACAGAUCUUACUAAGGAAGACAAAGAAGAUCUGAAUUGAAUUUACUUCGAUUCGAAUGAAAUGAAAACAGAUUGAAAAAAAAAAAAAAAGCAGAACACAAGAGUUCUCAGUUACUUACGUUACAAAGUCUUGAGAGUUUAGAAUCUUGCAUCAAAUAGAAAACCAGGGACAGAGAUUUAAAAGUUUUUUUUUAGCUCGACAUCAUCACAUUAUCAAUAGAUUGAAGAGCUUGGUUUGCAAAGAACCUGACAUCAACAUCUGGAUCCUCGCUUAGCUCCACAAGCCCUGGACGAAUCGUAUUCUCUACAACCUUUUAUUUUUCACCACCAAACCAAAAAUUAAAACAAAACCUGAUGGUUGUUCUGACUUUUUAGACAUAUAUAUACACUUACCGAUUGAUCGACAAUUGGAAUGAGGGAUUGAAGCACCUUAGCGACAUUGAAUUUGAUGUUUGGAACUCUGUGGUAGUAAAAAAUAAUCUUGUUUAUACACUUAAAAUGUUUGAAGCAAAAUCAUGCGAGUCAAUAACUAGUUUACAAUGAGAACUUGCCUGUCUUUAGCCCCGGUCAUCACGACAGGUAAGAGCUUGGAGCAUGUGAUCUCUGACCCCAUCACUGGUGCAAGAAGAGAAACCGCACGCAAAAUGGUCAUACGGUACAGAUAGUGAGGGUUGCUGAUCAUCUCAAGAACCUGCAGAUUAAUGAAAAAAAACAUUGGUUGACUCUAAUAAGAAGGUAAACACUGAUUCUUGUAAAACAUAGACAAACCUGUGGAACUAUAUGCUGCAUUGCCCAUUCAGGACCAAAUUCUUCAGCAAGACGCUUCACAUUGUUGGCAGCAGCCUCGCGGAUUGAGUGGACCUGAAGAGACAGCCGCUUCAAUAUUUAUAAGGAGAAACUGAUUUGUUAUUUAAGAAUAUCUUUGGUUUGAGAGAGAAAGCAGAACCUUGUCUUCUAACCAUUGCAUGCAAAGAGCGCCAAGCUUAUCGUCAAAGAAGCCAACACCUAACUGACUUGCCAACAAAGGUAUGUACUCAAUGAUAGCAAGUCUUACCCUCCAGUGUCUAUCUUCAGCAAGUUCUACAAUUGCUGGCAACAAGGAUUGCGAUAGUAGAUCAAUCCCAAUAAC